RNAcentral lists this ribosomal RNA (250 nucleotides) under uncultured bacterium. RNAcentral describes it as "partial 16S ribosomal RNA". It matches the Rfam family "Bacterial small subunit ribosomal RNA", at positions 524 to 773 of the family's 1533-position model. The record is from RNAcentral.
GACGAAGGUGGCGAGCGUUACUCGGAAUUACUAGGCGUAAAGCGUGGGUAGGUGGUUUGGUAAGUCUGUUGUGAAAGCUCCCGGCUUAACUGGGAGAGGCCAAUGGAAACUACCAGACUUGAAUGUGGGAGAGGUCACUGGAAUUCCCGGUGUAGCGGUGAAAUGCGUAGAGAUCGGGAGGAACACCAAUGGCGAAGGCAGGUGACUGGACCACUAUUGACACUCAGCCACGAAAGCUAGGGGAGCAAAC